This 164-nucleotide ribosomal RNA is filed under the name Austrochloris dichanthioides. Its description in RNAcentral is "5.8S ribosomal RNA". It matches the Rfam family "5.8S ribosomal RNA". Rfam says of the family: 5.8S ribosomal RNA (5.8S rRNA) is a component of the large subunit of the eukaryotic ribosome. It is transcribed by RNA polymerase I as part of the 45S precursor that also contains 18S and 28S rRNA. The record is from RNAcentral. Lineage: Eukaryota; Viridiplantae; Streptophyta; Magnoliopsida; Poales; Poaceae.
GACAUGACUCUCGGCAACGGAUAUCUCGGCUCUCGCAUCGAUGAAGAACGUAGCAAAAUGCGAUACCUGGUGUGAAUUGCAGAAUCCCGUGAACCAUCGAGUUUUUGAACGCAAGUUGCGCCCGAGGCCUUUUGGUCGAGGGCACGUCUGCCUGGGCGUCACGC